GAUGUGCCCAGAUGGGAUUAGCUAGUAGGUGGGGUAAUGGCUCACCUAGGCGACGAUCCCUAGCUGGUCUGAGAGGAUGACCAGCCACACUGGAACUGAGACACGGUCCAGACUCCUACGGGAGGCAGCAGUGGGGAAUAUUGCACAAUGGGCGCAAGCCUGAUGCAGCCAUGCCGCGUGUAUGAAGAAGGCCUUCGGGUUGUAAAGUACUUUCAGCGGGGAGGAAGGGUUGCGGUUAAUAACCGCAGCAAAGAC
RNAcentral lists this ribosomal RNA (255 nucleotides) under uncultured bacterium. RNAcentral's name for it is "partial 16S ribosomal RNA". It matches the Rfam family "Bacterial small subunit ribosomal RNA", at positions 224 to 473 of the family's 1533-position model. The record is from RNAcentral.